ACUGAACGCUGGCGGCAGGCUUAACACAUGCAAGUCGAGCGGAGAGAGGUAGCUUGCUACCGAUCUUAGCGGCGGACGGGUGAGUAAUGCUUAGGAAUCUGCCUAUUAGUGGGGGACAACAUUUCGAAAGGAAUGCUAAUACCGCAUACGUCCUACGGGAGAAAGCAGGGGAUCUUCGGACCUUGCGCUAAUAGAUGAGCCUAAGUCGGAUUAGCUAGUUGGUGGGGUAAAGGCCUACCAAGGCGACGAUCUGUAGCGGGUCUGAGAGGAUGAGCCGCCACACUGGGACUGGGACACGGCCCAGACUCCUACGGGAGGCAGCAGUGGGGAAUAUUGGACAAUGGGCGCAAGCCUGAUCCAGCCAUGCCGCGUGUGUGAAGAAGGCCUUAUGGUUGUAAAGCACUUUAAGCGAGGAGGAGGCUACUUUAGUUAAUACCUAGAGAUAGUGGACGUUACUCGCAGAAUAAGCACCGGCUAACUCUGUGCCAGCAGCCGCGGUAA
RNAcentral lists this ribosomal RNA (501 nucleotides) under uncultured bacterium. Its description in RNAcentral is "partial 16S ribosomal RNA". It matches the Rfam family "Bacterial small subunit ribosomal RNA", at positions 30 to 523 of the family's 1533-position model. The record is from RNAcentral.